GCCAAGGACUGAUCCUCUCGGGCAGGGAGUCCAAGGGGACCGCCCGAGAGGAUCCGUCCCUGC
This is a microRNA precursor of Gorilla gorilla gorilla (western lowland gorilla), 63 nucleotides long. NCBI's taxonomy places the organism in Eukaryota, Metazoa, Chordata, Mammalia, Primates, Hominidae. The record is from Ensembl.